Priapulus caudatus is the source of this 162-nucleotide long non-coding RNA. RefSeq lists it as uncharacterized. The record is from RefSeq and is a predicted model, not a curated record. The transcript is spliced from 2 exons. NCBI's taxonomy places the organism in Eukaryota, Metazoa, Priapulida, Priapulimorpha, Priapulimorphida, Priapulidae.
CUAAACGCGUCAACCGCAGACGAUGAGGCAUUAGUUCACGCUACCGAAUAAACUACAAGUCGCCAGCUCAAACAACUGGGAAAACAUAAUAAAGGUUAAAGUGUCACUUCUAAAGGCAGAUGAGGAAGUCGUAUUCGUUGACUUUAACGGUGUUGACAGCAA